GGCAUGCUUAACACAUGCAAGUCGAACGGUAACAGAAGAAGCUUGCUUCUUGCUGACGAGUGGCGGACGGGUGAGUAACGCGUGGGAACAUGCCUAUUAGUUGGGGACAACCUGUGGAAACGCAGGCUAAUACCGAAUACGUACUAAGGUAUAAAGGUGGCCUCUACAUGUAAGCUAUCGCUAAUAGAUUGGCCCGCGUUGGAUUAGCUGGUUGGUGGGGUAAAGGCCUACCAAGGCGACGAUCCAUAGCUGGUUUGAGAGGAUGAUCAGCCACACUGGGACUGAGACACGGCCCAGACUCCUACGGGAGGCAGCAGUGGGGAAUAUUGGACAAUGGGCGCAAGCCUGAUCCAGCAAUGCCGCGUGUGUGAAGAAGGCCUGAGGGUUGUAAAGCACUUUCAAUUGUGAAGAAGGGUAUAAGAUUAAUACUUUUGUACAUUGACGUUAACAAUAGAAGAAGCACCGGCUAACUCUGUGCCAGCAGCCGCGGUAAUACAGAGGGUGCAAGCGUUAAUCGGAAUUACUGGGCGUAAAGCGCGCGUAGGUGGUUUGAUAAGUUGGAUGUGAAAUCCCCGGGCUUAACCUGGGUCGGUCAUUCAAAACUGUCAGACUAGAGUAUGGUAGAGGGUAGUGGAAUUUCUAGUGUAGCGGUGAAAUGCGUAGAUAUUAGAAGGAACACCAGUGGCGAAAGGGCGGCUUCCUG
Molecule: ribosomal RNA, 703 nt
Filed under: uncultured bacterium
Lineage: Bacteria
Description: bacterial SSU rRNA
Rfam family: Bacterial small subunit ribosomal RNA
Source: RNAcentral